RNA transcript from Glycine soja, 1314 nucleotides. It is a transcript of the gene named polyubiquitin-like, with no coding region annotated. Lineage: Eukaryota; Viridiplantae; Streptophyta; Magnoliopsida; Fabales; Fabaceae. The record is from RefSeq and is a predicted model, not a curated record. The transcript is spliced from 2 exons.
AAGUCACACCAUACAUGGGCACGCGUCACAAUAUGAUUGGAGAACGGUUCCACCGCAUAUGCUAUAAAAUGCCCCCACACCCCUCGACCCUAAUCGCACUUCAUUUGCAAUCAAAUUAGUUCAUUCUCUUUGCGCAGUUCCCUACCUCUCCUUUCAAGAUGCAGAUCUUCGUCAAGACCCUCACCGGAAAGACCAUCACCCUUGAGGUGGAAAGCUCUGACACCAUCGACAACGUCAAGGCCAAGAUCCAGGACAAGGAAGGAAUUCCCCCGGAUCAGCAACGUCUCAUCUUCGCCGGAAAGCAGCUCGAGGACGGCCGUACCCUCGCCGACUACAACAUCCAGAAGGAGUCAACCCUUCACCUUGUCCUUCGUCUCCGUGGUGGCAUGCAGAUCUUCGUCAAGACUCUCACUGGCAAAACCAUAACCCUAGAGGUCGAAAGCUCUGACACCAUUGACAACGUCAAGGCCAAGAUCCAGGACAAGGAGGGAAUCCCCCCAGACCAGCAACGUCUCAUCUUCGCCGGAAAGCAACUUGAGGACGGGCGCACCCUCGCCGAUUACAACAUCCAGAAGGAAUCAACCCUUCACCUCGUCCUCCGUCUCCGUGGUGGCAUGCAGAUCUUCGUUAAGACCCUCACCGGCAAGACUAUAACCCUAGAAGUCGAGAGCUCCGACACCAUCGACAACGUCAAGGCUAAGAUCCAGGACAAGGAGGGUAUCCCCCCAGACCAGCAGAGGCUGAUCUUCGCCGGCAAGCAGCUCGAGGACGGACGUACCCUUGCUGACUACAACAUCCAGAAGGAGUCAACUCUCCACUUGGUGUUGCGUCUUCGUGGUGGUAUGCAGAUCUUCGUCAAGACCCUUACGGGUAAGACUAUUACCCUCGAGGUGGAGAGCUCCGACACCAUUGACAAUGUGAAGGCGAAGAUCCAGGACAAGGAAGGAAUCCCACCGGACCAGCAGAGGCUUAUUUUUGCUGGCAAACAGCUAGAGGAUGGAAGGACCCUCGCUGACUACAACAUCCAGAAGGAGUCAACUCUGCACUUGGUGUUGCGUCUUCGUGGGGGGUUUUAAGCUGGAGCUGAUUUCUGUGUGAUGUUCGAUGUUGGAUUUUCCCAAACAUUUUAAGAAGAAAUGUGAUGUGUAAUGGGUCUGUAAUGACCUUUGAAAAUAAGUUUGGUUUGUGUUGAACUCUAUUGUCCCAUUAAUGUUACUACUGUUUGUUAUCAAUUUGUGGAGCUGAUAUAUAAUUAUCAACUGUAUGCUGGCAUAUUGUGUUUGAAUUUUGUUCUCAAUCCAGUGAAUUGGCGUA